Molecule: long non-coding RNA, 2420 nt
Organism: Perca fluviatilis (European perch)
Lineage: Eukaryota; Metazoa; Chordata; Actinopteri; Perciformes; Percidae
Exons: 3
Source: RefSeq, a predicted model, not a curated record
GUGUGUUAGUCUGCGUAGAUGUCACAACUGGGUCGCUUUCAGGUAUGCAAGACUUAUUCCUGAAAACCAAAGGUUUGUUCCAUCAAUUACAUUUAUACAUUCUCUCACCAUCUGCUGGAUGCGGUGGAAGCUCUUGCCGUGGAAGCUGAAGGCCUGCUCAAACAGCACUUUGUCCUCCACUGUCCACUCGUCUGGGAACGGGGUGAAGUUGGCCAGGUCAGCAAGCGAGCGCUCCACAUCAUGUUUGUGCCAUAAUAACAUGCCCAGAGCCUGAGCGCACAGACAGGACGAAGACAGAGUCAGGCAAACAGUGACAGGCUCCAUCUCUCUUUUCAUUGGCAAGAAAAACAAGGAGGAGAUGGUGGCGUGUCAGCCAGUGGACUCUUUUGGGAAUUCACCACCUGUGUUCUGCCAAAAUCCAGACGUUAAACGAGACGCUGGUUUUUCCUGCUUCUCCCCUCAUCUGGUGCAAUCUGAUGGUCAUGGGACAACUUUGUCGAUGGCGAUUGCUUUCGCAAUGUUCAGCCACUUUACAUGAUCUACCUCGACUUAUACAAUGAAUCAGGAUACUUCAAUAAGCUUGAUCUUACAAUCUUUAAACCUUUCCAUUCCCCGUGAAAUUGUUUUCAAACAAACAGGCUAAAAAAAACUAGCUUUAUUCUGAUUCAACAUCACUAUGGACUGUUCUGAAACAUCCCAAAAAAAAAAAAAAGAAUGUGAUGCCCAUUUACUAAGGGGUUUGAAUAUUGCAGAGCUAACCCCUUUUAUUGAUUAAACAAAGACUUGACACCCGCCUCAAAACAAACAUUACUCCCAUUACUGAACAAGGACAACCUCUGCAACACAGGCAAGUGUCUACAUUUUCCCUCUCCAUUUCCUGGAGAGACAGGAAGACAGUAACUGGUCAUUUGACCUUCAUUUCUCUCAUUGUCUGCAUUCCCCUCCUUCCUCCAUUUCAAUGUCCUCCACAUUACUCCUCACCUCUAGGUCUCCUUCUCAGCCCUGAUUUCCUCCCUCUCUCUAUUCAUUUUCCUUUUCAAUCAUCUCUUUUUCGCUCAUGUUUUCCUCUCUCAGCUUACCUGGUUUGAACUCUGGGAUCUGUGCCUGGUAGUCUCCCCCCACUCUGAUCAUACUGUCUGUAGAGAGAGAGAGACACACACAAGACGAAUAUGACUUUCUAUUUCCCAGAAGGAUGGGUAGAGCUGCAGAGAUGGAAGAGGAUGGGGGACAAGUAUUCCCGUAAAUUUCCCAGAAAGUUGCAGAGCUGGAUAGACGGGACCAUAAGAAGCAGAUAACAGGAGAGUCAUCUACAACAUGGUAAUCAUUUUUUGCGUUAUGCCCUCUAACCGGCUUCACUAUUGGUUUAUCCCAUCAGGGCUCUGCCUCUGCAAUAGCAAUAGCUAUUUAUAUUUACCAAAUUGUUGAUUAAAUGUCUGACACAUUGAAAUAAUAGCUGCAGGCCACUCAAUCAGAGCCAAUUGAGACCCUGUGGUUUGUGAGAAAAACAUCUAUACGAAUAGGCUAAAUACACAUCACAACACAGGCCUAAAAGCCUUAAGUCUUUAUGUAUUUUGUGAAACCAAGGACAAAAGGUUCUCCAAAACAGUGCUCUGGCUUUCAAAAGUGAAGUACAAUUUCAUGAACUGAUUUCUGUCCUACACUGAAAUUUCCAUAUUGUGGGAUCAGGGUUAGUGAAGUUGAUAAGCGCUUCCCAUCAAAGUGAGUUUUUUCCCCCUCAUACAUCAGAAUUUGAUUGUAAAUGAUUGAGCAGAUUUUUUUUCCAACUUGUUAAAAGGCCAGAGUGAUGUGCUGCUCUGAUUAAUUACUACUGACUGAACAUAUGAUGUGUAAUCAAUCAAUGAAUCACCUGCAAAGCUGAAUCGGCCAUAUCCUGGCACACCUCAUCUCGCUAUUAAUGUAGUUACAUUAUGGUUUAAACAGUAACCUCAAUCUUUGAAUACAUUGCAUUUGCUGUUUAAAGUAGCACCGAUGCUUAUUUUCCCUGAUGCUUAAUAGGCCUAAUUACAUUUAACAAAAAGGUUCUUUAGUGGAGGUAUUUCAGGCAAGGUGGGGCACUAUAAAAUACUGGGAAACCCUGGGGAUAUGUAAUUAGUUUGCAAGAGUGCAAACAAUCCUCAAGUUGUCAGCCUGUAAGAACCACACAGGGAGCCUGCUUUUAAUCAACUAUUGAAAUGAGUGUGGUUCUAAUGGUUUUAAAAGAGAAUGAAAUGUUGACUGUUUCAGUCUUCCCUUGUUCCAUUUCCAUAAUUGUUCUAAACAUUUGGUUUUCUGAACAAUUUGGUUCAACCAAGAUACCAGAAAGUUUUUAAUCACAGCAUAUAACUUGUCUCCGUUUACAGAAGAACAAGUCAAAUUCAACAGAAAUAGCAUAGAUCGUAAUAAAUACCUUUUAUGCAUUA